Molecule: ribosomal RNA, 1346 nt
Filed under: uncultured bacterium
Lineage: Bacteria
Description: partial 16S ribosomal RNA
Rfam family: Bacterial small subunit ribosomal RNA
Source: RNAcentral
GACGAACGCUUGCGGCGUGCUUAACACAUGCAAGUCGAACGGAAAGGCCCUGCUUUUGUGGGGUGCUCGAGUGGCGAACGGGUGAGUAACACGUGAGUAACCUGCCCUUGACUUUGGGAUAACUUCAGGAAACUGGGGCUAAUACCGGAUAGGAGCUCCUGCUGCAUGGUGGGGGUUGGAAAGUUUCGGCGGUUGGGGAUGGACUCGCGGCUUAUCAGCUUGUUGGUGGGGUAGUGGCUUACCAAGGCUUUGACGGGUAGCCGGCCUGAGAGGGUGACCGGCCACAUUGGGACUGAGAUACGGCCCAGACUCCUACGGGAGGCAGCAGUGGGGAAUAUUGCACAAUGGGCGGAAGCCUGAUGCAGCAACGCCGCGUGCGGGAUGACGGCCUUCGGGUUGUAAACCGCUUUCGCCUGUGACGAAGCGUGAGUGACGGUAAUGGGUAAAGAAGCACCGGCUAACUACGUGCCAGCAGCCGCGGUGAUACGUAGGGUGCGAGCGUUGUCCGGAUUUAUUGGGCGUAAAGGGCUCGUAGGUGGUUGAUCGCGUCGGAAGUGUAAUCUUGGGGCUUAACCCUGAGCGUGCUUUCGAUACGGGUUGACUUGAGGAAGGUAGGGGAGAAUGGAAUUCCUGGUGGAGCGGUGGAAUGCGCAGAUAUCAGGAGGAACACCAGUGGCGAAGGCGGUUCUCUGGGCCUUUCCUGACGCUGAGGAGCGAAAGCGUGGGGAGCGAACAGGCUUAGAUACCCUGGUAGUCCACGCUGUAAACGGUGGGUACUAGGUGUGGGGUCCAUUCCACGGGUUCCGUGCCGUAGCUAACGCUUUAAGUACCCCGCCUGGGGAGUACGGCCGCAAGGCUAAAACUCAAAGGAAUUGACGGGGCCCCGCACAAGCGGCGGAGCAUGCGGAUUAAUUCGAUGCAACGCGUAGAACCUUACCUGGGUUUGACAUGGAUCGGGAGUGCUCAGAGAUGGGUGUGCCUCUUUUGGGGUCGGUUCACAGGUGGUGCAUGGCUGUCGUCAGCUCGUGUCGUGAGAUGUUGGGUUAAGUCCCGCAACGAGCGCAACCCUUGUUCACUGUUGCCAGCACGUUAUGGUGGGGACUCAGUGGAGACCGCCGGGGUCAACUCGGAGGAAGGUGGGGAUGACGUCAAGUCAUCAUGCCCCUUAUGUCCAGGGCUUCACGCAUGCUACAAUGGCUGGUACAGAGGGUGGCGAGCCUGUGAUGGUGAGCGAAUCUCGGAAAGCCGGUCUCAGUUCGGAUUGGGGUCUGCAACUCGACCUCAUGAAGUCGGAGUCGCUAGUAAUCGCAGAUCAGCAACGCUGCGGUGAAUACGUCCCCGGGGCU